RNAcentral lists this ribosomal RNA (406 nucleotides) under uncultured bacterium. Its description in RNAcentral is "partial 16S ribosomal RNA". It matches the Rfam family "Bacterial small subunit ribosomal RNA", at positions 29 to 526 of the family's 1533-position model. The record is from RNAcentral.
AUUGAACGCUGGCGGCAGGCCUAACACAUGCAAGUCGAACGAGUGGCGGACGGGUGAGUCAUGUCUGGGAAACUGCCCGAUGGGGGGGGAUAACUACGGGAACCGGUAGCUAAUACCGCAUACCAUCGGAUGUGCCCAGAUGGGAUUAGCUAGUAGGUGGGGUAACGGCUCACCUAGGCGACGAUCCCUAGCUGGUCUGAGAGGAUGACCGGCACAACGGGAACGGAGACACGGCCCAGACUCCUACGGGAGGCAGCAGUGGGGAAUAUUGGACAAUGGGCGCAAGCCGGAUGCAGCCAUGCCGCGGGUAUGAAGAAGGCCUUCGGGUUGUAAAGUACUUUCAGCGAGGAGGCGUUACUCGCAGAAGAAGCACCGGCUAACUCCGUGCCAGCAGCCGCGGUAAUUC